GAGAGGUGUCUGAGUGGUCGAAAGUGCCAGACUCGAAAUCUGGUGUUCAGAAACCUGAACCGAGGGUUCAAAUCCCUCCCUCUCC
Molecule: transfer RNA, 85 nt
Filed under: chicken gut metagenome
Rfam family: tRNA
About the family: Transfer RNA (tRNA) molecules are approximately 80 nucleotides in length. Their secondary structure includes four short double-helical elements and three loops (D, anti-codon, and T loops). Further hydrogen bonds mediate the characteristic L-shaped molecular structure. tRNAs have two regions of fundamental functional importance: the anti-codon, which is responsible for specific mRNA codon recognition, and the 3' end, to which the tRNAs corresponding amino acid is attached (by aminoacyl-tRNA synthetases). tRNAs cope with the degeneracy of the genetic code in two manners: having more than one tRNA (with a specific anti-codon) for a particular amino acid; and 'wobble' base-pairing, i.e. permitting non-standard base-pairing at the 3rd anti-codon position.
Source: RNAcentral